GCCUCCUGAGUAGCUGGGAUUACAGGUGCACACCACCAUGCCCAGCUAAUUUUUUGUAUUUUUAGUAGAAAUAUCAUGUCUAUGUCAGUAAAUGCUACAUAAGUAAAAGAAAAAGAAAUCUCAGUUGGGGUCUGUACAGAGGGUGGAUUGACAAGACAGUAAGGCCGAAGAUUAACCUGUUUUUCAGUUGUUUUUUUCCCCCUCUUCUGUUAGAAUAUAUUCAGUGCCUGCCCCAUUACGUGACCAGUCUGCAGCACAUCGCCAAGCUAGGGAGGGCCAACACCGCAUAAUUGCAUUAAACCUGCCUGUUCUUUCCGGAAAGUACUUCCUGACCGCAUCAAGGGAGGAAAUCAGUCAAAGGAGUGCUUUCAAGUCUUAGGAUACCACACCUAUGUUUCAAUCCCCCUACUCCAGUUCCUCAAAACCGCUAUUAUGCAAAGAGAAUCUGAAAUUAGACUCCCCUGCCUAUGGCUAAUUUUACUAUAUUACACUUGAUCUUUCCUCAGUGUUAUUAAAUUGACUUUUGUUGGGUGCAGCAUUUGAGACAG
Molecule: long non-coding RNA, 548 nt
Filed under: Homo sapiens (human)
Lineage: Eukaryota; Metazoa; Chordata; Mammalia; Primates; Hominidae
Description: non-protein coding lnc-DDIAS-5:2
Source: RNAcentral